UACGUAGGUCCCGAGCGUUGUCCGGAUUUAUUGGGCGUAAAGCGAGCGCAGGCGGUUUGAUAAGUCUGAAGUAAAAGGCUGUGGCUUAACCAUAGUAUGCUUUGGAAACUGUCAAACUUGAGUGCAGAAGGGGAGAGUGGAAUUCCAUGUGUAGCGGUGAAAUGCGUAGAUAUAUGGAGGAACACCGGUGGCGAAAGCGGCUCUCUGGUCUGUAACUGACGCUGAGGCUCGAAAGCGUGGGGAGCAAACA
Molecule: ribosomal RNA, 250 nt
Filed under: uncultured archaeon
Lineage: Archaea
Description: partial 16S ribosomal RNA
Rfam family: Bacterial small subunit ribosomal RNA
Source: RNAcentral